RNAcentral lists this long non-coding RNA (504 nucleotides) under Chlamydomonas reinhardtii. RNAcentral describes it as "long non-coding RNA (CREI_LNC000239)". Lineage: Eukaryota; Viridiplantae; Chlorophyta; Chlorophyceae; Chlamydomonadales; Chlamydomonadaceae. The record is from RNAcentral.
AGCAGGCCGAUGACGUGCACGCGCACGAAGGCGGCGUUGUUGGGGAAGGCGCCGGGCCCCUUGGCGGCCACGUCCCACAGCGGCGCCUUAACCACGUUGGCGUCCAGGAUAGUGAACAGGUGGUGCAGGAUGCGCGCCUGGCUCUUGAAGCCGGGCUUGUGGAAGGAGUCUGCAGUAAGACACGCGGGCACAGGCAUAACCGCGUCAGGCAUCAGCGCCCAGCCACCAGACGAGCCGCUCGAGACGCAUCGCAACACCCUGCUAAGCACUUGCAGUGUUUCCUGUCAGCGCCGCUACAGCUCCUAGUCUGCCGUGCUGUAGCCCUAGCCCUAGCCCCCCGGCCGCUUACCCGUCAUGACGGCCAGGAUCUCGUUGAGCAGGUGCAGGUAGUAGGUCUGGUGGAACUGCGUCGCGUACUCAGAGCCGGCGAAUUGCACCAGCAGGUCGUGCAGCAGCGCCAGGCCCGUCUCCGCCACGUUGCGCUCCGUGUGCCGGAACGCCCAC